AGCCCACAAAUGUGGAAUGCUUUGAGCACUGGAUCACUUUUUUUGUGUAACUGAUAGGAAAGAUUCCAGUUAUUCUCAUAUAGCAAACUGUGGAUGUUUUUCUGCCUAAUUUUAUUUUAAAUCUUUUGUGAUAUGUAGAAAGAUUAGACGUCACAGCUCUUUUGGAAGAAUUAUUAUGCAGUGAUUCUCAGCUAUUUCUUGUUAUAUAAGAUAUCUUCUCCUUUGGAUUGUAGGGACUAGUCUAGCUGCGAAGU
RNAcentral lists this unclassified non-coding RNA (254 nucleotides) under Hevea brasiliensis (rubber tree). The record is from RNAcentral. Lineage: Eukaryota; Viridiplantae; Streptophyta; Magnoliopsida; Malpighiales; Euphorbiaceae.